RNAcentral lists this long non-coding RNA (6172 nucleotides) under Triticum aestivum (bread wheat). RNAcentral describes it as "long non-coding RNA (TAES_LNC022152)". The record is from RNAcentral. Lineage: Eukaryota; Viridiplantae; Streptophyta; Magnoliopsida; Poales; Poaceae.
CAGGAACGAUCUCCAAUUCUCCACCGGUUGAUCACCAUGAAGAUAGCCAACGCCCUGCUACUCCUGGUCUCCCUCGCUCUCCUGGUGCUACCAUCAUCAGGCACGCGCACGCCGCCGGUGGUAGAAGGUGGCGCGGUGGUGGUGCCAACGGCCGACUGCUCAGGGACGGUGAUCGGGCGGGGCAAGAAGUGCGAGCACCGGAAGUGUGAGGCGGAGUGCCGGCGGCAGCACGAUGGGAUCGGCGCGUGCGCAGCCCUGGGGUGCAGUUGCGCCUUCUGCGUGAGGUAUCCUCCCUCCUCCGUGGAUGCACAGGCAAACCGAUACUGAGUAGUACACUAGUACCAGGUUCAGAGUGUGUACUCACUAGAUAGCAGGUAUCCUUGCAAUGCCCAUUUUCAAAGAUAAUUUGGAUCCGAUCAAAAAAUUGUAGUACAUGAAUGCUUCAGAGCAAAAAAAAGAAAAUCCUUGGUAAUUAACUCGUGGUAACGACUACGUGUGAGUUUAUCAUUUUGAUUCUUGGCCUCACCUCAGCAAAUAUACUUAUCAAGAUGAACUACUGUACAUAUUCUAUACACCAUUCAUUUGAACGGUUUUUAUUUCAGUCAGUUUAAUUUCAUUUUAAAAUCAUAUUCAUGAAUUUUUUAAAGUACUCACAAAUUUGAGAAAUAUUCAUGAAUCUAAAAAUAUUGGAAAAUUUUAGAAAGCUCACUAAUUAGAAAAAUUGGCUGUGAAUUCAAACGAUGUUUGUAAAUGAGAAAAAUAUUUGUGAAACUGAUAAAUGUGUGCAAAUUCAAAAAAUGCUCACGGAUUUGAAGAAAUGGGUUCAUGAAUUUGCAAACAAAUGUUCGUGAAUAAGGAAAAUGUUCACGCAUUCAGAAAAUAAAAUAGGAAUAUGUUAGCAAAUAAAUAAAAUUGUUGAUGAAUUAAAAAACUGUUCACAACACAAAAAGUUGUUCACGAAUUCAUAAAAGUAUGCUGAUGAAUUCAAAAACUGGUUGCAAAAUUAACAAAUGUUCAUGAAUAAGCUUGUUUACAAAUUCAAAUAAAUAUUUAUGGAUUCAAAAAAUAUUUGUAAAUACGAAGUAUUGUUCUUGCAUUCAAAAAAAAUCACGAGUUCAGAUAUUUUGGCAAAUACAAAAAGGUGUGGGAAUUCAAAAUUUGUUCAUGAAUGUAAAUUGUUUGCGAGCAUGAAAAUGUUCACCAUCUCAAUAAAUGUUUGUUAAUUUUAAAAAAUUGUGAACACGAAAUAUGUUUUGGAUUAAAAAAAUGCUUGCUAAUUCAAAGUAAUUCACGAAUCUGAAAACGAGAAAGAAAAUGUACGGAAGGGAAAAAAGAAAUAUUGAGAAAGAACGAAAAGGAAAAAGGCGGCGGCGGGGCGGGCGGGGGGGGGGGGUGAGGAAAAAGAGAAAAAAUGGAAUUAAAUGGUGAUGAGAAUAGGAAAUUAGGGGAAACACUAUAAAGAAAAGAAAAGGAAAAAAUUGCCAGAAGCUUCUCCAAACCAUGGUACCCUACUGGACGGACCCGCUUAUAUCCCUUCCACUGAGCGAUACAUAUUAAUGGGAGGUGCGAUGUAUCAGUUCUUGCGACUAGCACACUCGCAUCACUCACGCCACGGACAUCAGUUCGCUUAGUAAGCAACACAUCCGCAUGGGCCAUGUCGGCACAUUGGCGCGUUUGAUCGCUAGCACCAGUAUACUAGGCACGGUUUGAUUAUCUUUUUUUUACUUGUAUUUCAAAUUCAAUUAAUUUUAAAUAAAACACCGUGUCCGUUGUUUUCACUUUUUUAUUUGGGUGGGUUUAUUUUAGAUUGAUAAGCGCUCAUGAAUUUAAACAUGUUCUUGAAUUUAAAAAACAAUCAUGAAUUUAGAAAUGUCCAUGAAUUUUAAAAAAUGUUCAUAAAUUCAAAAUAAGUUAGCAAAUUUGAAAAGUAUAUGUGAAAUGGGAAAAAUUUCAAGACUUUAUCUUUUUCAUUGAUUCAUUUUUGUGAAUUCUAAAAAUAUUUGUGAAUUAUUUUUUUUUUCAAAAAUUUGCAAAUGAUUGGAAAUUCAAAUAAGUUUAUUAAUUUGAAUGACAUGAAUUAAACAAUAAGUUUACAAUAUUUUAUAAAAUUCAAGAAUUCAAAAUAAUAUUGGUGAAAUUAAAAUUAUUCAAAAGUUGUAAAAAUACUCAUGAAUUAGUUUUAUUAUUAAUUCAAAUAAUUUUCAUGAAUUUUAAAAGGUUACCAAAAUUUAAAAAUGUGCGUGCAUUCAAAUAAUGUUCAUGAAUUCAAAAAAGUUUGUGAAAAUUCAAAGAAAUUUUGUGAAAUUUAAAAAGUUCACAAUUUAAAAACAGAUGUGAAUGCAACAUUUUCAUGAAAUUAAAAAAGGUGAAUUUAAAAAAAUAAAAAUAAAAUAAAAUAAGAACAUAGAAUAGAAAAGGAAGACGAUAGAUAAGGAAAAAACAGAAAAAUGGGAAAUAAAGAUAAAAAUAAAACUAGAAAAUCCCUGUUAAAAACCAUGACCAAAUAGAAAACCAUAAGACUGGGUGAAUAAAAUAGUGAAAUACCCAUAUGGGAGGUUUCCCAAACCAUGUGGAACCUUCAUCAUACUGUUCUGCACGAAAUCGUUGCGAACGUCUUAAAUGGGUUGGCUCACCUUCGUAUGCUAGCGACCAAUCACAUGAUUAGCGAUACAUAUCAAUUGCGGGUGACAAUCAUCCCUCUACUAUAACGGGCAUCUAGUUGCUUGCGAGCAAGGAAGUACACACUAAUACGAUCCGAAUAUGCAGACAUUGGUUUCUCAGAAUACUGGUGAUCGGUUCAAUACCAAUUUUCUUCUUCCAAGAUUCACAUAAAAAUUUGUGUUCUUGGGUAGUGUAGUUUUCAUUUCUCCCCUUUGGAGUUGUUUCAAGAAAACCCUCCUCUUCCAUGUCAAGAUGGGCUUCAUCUUGCGUUUCAUAUUCUUGAGAGACAAACUCUUGAGAUGCAACAUUUGUGUAUUCCCAAAAUGUUUGAUCAUCCACAUUAUAUACACGGGCAUCACAUCUCAAUUGCAUACAUAUACAAUCUAUGACAAGGAAUGAAAAAAAUUGGAGUCCAUUUUUAUCGUUUUACGUUUCAGUCAUUUCGUCAAAGAUGUUGGGGGAAGCAAGAGGCUAUGGCAGCCGAUGACAAUGGCUCCACCAUAUGCGGUGGUGAGAAGUCAGGGGAAGAGGCCCCUGGCUAUUCAGGAGUUGCUACUAUCAUCGUGGAAGGUUUUGGUGGCGGCAGGGGGCAACCUUCUUCUUCUUGUUGCAGCUAGAAAGUCACUACUGACGGAUCCCGCACCAGCCUCUUCCUAGAAGUGGCGGUGGACGUGCGUGGCUUUGGGGGAGCCUUGGUGGCAACUGUGUGAUAGUACGCAUCCCCACCAGCCACGGUGGUGGACUGGCUUCAGCUUGCUGCCACUGCGGCUGGGAACCAUGGCAAGGACUACUGUGGGUCUGGCAUUGAGUCCGGCGGGGAUAUCGGGGUGGCGUUCCAUGGUGAAUUGGUGGCUUACUGUUGGAUCGGCUGGGGGCGGUGGGACAACGGGAAACUUCCACGAGGCAGUUGGGAGUGCGCCGAACAAUUUGGGUUUUUACGGAUCCCGCAUGGGUGUUGCAAUAUGCAACACUUUGGGACGCCCAAUUUUUUUACAUCACUAUUUGCAUAUAGGGCAUAUGUCGGAGCAUUAUUUUUGACCCAAAGUGACGUAAAUUGCAAUCUCUUUUAUCACAGUGGAGUUUUUCAUCGUCUGUUGGAGAUGCUCUUACAACUUUUCGCUUCGUCUGGGUGAUGUGGUCGGGAUGCGGCUUGAUGUGCUUUUAAUGCAAGUACACCUUGCGAGAGGGGCGGUUGAGUCGACGGUGUCUACUGUCUGAGCUCAUGGUACCCACCACUUGUCGGUGUAUGUUCAUACAUAAGAUUGGAAGCAUUAGGGUGGACUUAUUUGGCGACGACAAAUUUGACACAACCAUUGUUCUCAGGUGUGAUGGUGUUGAUGAAGACAACAUGUGAUGCAGCCCCAUGGCCCCUGCUUGGUAGUAUGUUGCCUCCAUCGAGGUAAUGUAGUCAGAAUAGGUCACUAGAUAGUUGGGGUUAUACCGCAUACCGUUGGUAGUGCCCCGACCUAAUCAUCUUCUCCCAUGAAGAUGUUGGCAGGGAUGGAAGUGUUUUUUAAAAACCUGGCAGGGAUGGAAGUGUUGAUUUAGAUCCAGCGAACUCAUUCCUCUCACCAAAGGAGUUGAUGGUGUUGAUGAAAAUGACAUCAACAUUGACGUCGAUGUUGUUUCCUUGAUCCAAUCCGAUAUCGUGAAGGUCCCCAUGACCGGUGCCAAAUAUCGACGGUGUUUCGUAAAGUACCAGAACAUUAGUACAAUGACAACAUGGAUUUAUAUAACAGUGGGACGUAGCUUCCAGUUAUUGAAUGGACACACUCACCACACGGAUAAAAAAUUAGGAAAACACCGACAUCAGGGAUCGAACCUGCGCCCAGUGUAGGUAAGCAACCAUGCACACUACAUAACUUCUAAUGUAGUAAAUUGUACGUGCAUUCACCUUUAUAAAAAUACUCCCUCCAUCUCAAAUUACUUGUCGCAGAAAUGGACAAAGUAAUUUGGGACGGAGGGAGUAUAUAUAAUAGCAAUGAGAAAAAUGCAUCCUUAACAUUUUAUUUCCUCAUGCGAAUCAUAAAAAGGAAAAAAAAGAUUACUGGACUGACAAGGAUAAAAAGGCUGUAUCUAGAACAAAAACACAUCCAUUUCCGCGAUAAGUAAUUCCGGACAGAGGGAAAUAAUAGCAAUGCGAAAAAUGCAUCGUUAACAUUUUAUUUCCUCAUGCAAAUUAUAAAAGGAAAAAAAUCACAGAAGUGGAGCACUGGCAAGGAAAAAAAGAAACAAAAAUACUAGGAAAAAAAACCGUCGACAGCAGGGAUCGAACCUGCGCGGGCGAAGCCCAACAGAUUUCAAGUCUGUCUCCUUAACCACUCGGACAUAUCGACCAUGCAUGCGCCAGUUUCCUUCAGCCUUUAUAAUAACGGUAGUUUUCAGUGACCAGAUUUACACGGACCAACUUUUAGCUCGUCAUGGAGGCAGCACGAGUCGUUCAUCUAGAAUCAUCGCUUCUGUUUAUUUAUCAAUAUAUAUAUAUAUAUAUAUAUAUAUAUAUAUAUAUAUAUAUAUAUAUAUAUUAUCAGGGGCUGAGAUUUUUCGGUUCAGAAUAGCGCGGCACGUGCAUUGGCGAUGGAGAUGUGUUGGUGGUAGCCUUAUUGUUGUGGACCUGUCUGUCGAGUGUCCACCGUUGCCGUGCAUCAACCACUCGUCCGUGCCCCGCUGUCCCACUCCGACAUGGAUGGGUUCCACGCAACAGAAUAAAAUCCUAGUCACCCUCAAAAUAAAGAAAAGAAUAAGAUCCUAGUCCUUGAUGGAUCGCGGCCUGGCUGUAUUCCACCUGAUGAAACAAUAAUGGUAGUAAUAUUACAAAAUUAAUUUUCACGGUCAAAUUUAGGCAGCAUUUUUCAUCUCAUUUCACUUGCAUCGAUCACCAUAUAUGAGAGGAUAAUAAUACUGACACUGACAUGGAAGGGGGGAAUUAUAGACAUUUUUUAAAAAAUUGUUUGAAUUGCUUACCACGGCCUGGCUGUACUUUGCGGACCAGAUUAUUUCUUUUGCUGAACUUUAUUUAAUAAAGUCGUCGCAUGCAUCUUUUCGAUGCAGAGACCGGGGAUGUCCUCUUUUUCAAAAAUAAAAUAAAAUAUCCAUCAAUUGUGUAACCGUAACGUCACCAAAAAUUCGAAAAUCCAAGUGUGUUGCAAACUGUCAGUGGCAAGGGACGAGCCGUAUUAGCUCUUGCAGAUAGUACAUCAUUGAAUGUAGGCCACGAAGAGCAACUCCAACGGGCCGACCCAAAUAUACGGCGAUUUCGUCCGUUUUUUGUUCGUUUGGGUCGGUCGUCCACCCGGCGUCCGUCCUGUUUUUCAUAUGGGUCAGCAAUGCGCCAAACACGCCGACCCAUAUAUGUAGGCGUGGCCGGCUGGCCGCCUAAUUUUGCAUUGCAUUCAAUGUAUGGUGAAAUGAAAAUUUAAUGAACAAAAUAGUCCGCCCAAAUAAAUAAUAUAGUUUACAGGCCAAAUAAAAAUAAAAAUGUUUCACAUAGUUUUGCAAACAAAUAAAAAAA